RNAcentral lists this ribosomal RNA (187 nucleotides) under Salmonella enterica subsp. enterica serovar Manhattan str. SA20034532. RNAcentral describes it as "partial 23S ribosomal RNA". It matches the Rfam family "Bacterial large subunit ribosomal RNA", at positions 2756 to 2925 of the family's 2925-position model. Lineage: Bacteria; Pseudomonadati; Pseudomonadota; Gammaproteobacteria; Enterobacterales; Enterobacteriaceae. The record is from RNAcentral.
CGGAAGAGAUAAGUGCUGAAAGCAUCUAAGCACGAAACUUGCCCGAAGAUGAGUUCUCCCUGAGACUUUAGGUCUCCUGAAGGAACGUUGAAGACGACGACGUUGAUAGGCCGGGUGUGUAAGCGCAGCGAUGCGUUGAGCUAACCGGUACUAAUGAACCGUGAGGCUUAACCUUACAACGCCGAAG